Molecule: microRNA precursor, 104 nt
Filed under: Marmota monax (woodchuck)
Lineage: Eukaryota; Metazoa; Chordata; Mammalia; Rodentia; Sciuridae
Source: RNAcentral
AGUGGGACAGUUGGGUCAUAUGGUAAUUCCAUUCCUAGUUUUUUUGAGGAAUAUCCACACUGCUUUCCAGAGUGGUUGUACCAAUUUGCAGUCCCACCAACAAU